AAUCUUCCACAAUGGGCGAAAGCCUGAUGGAGCAACGCCGCGUGAGUGAAGAAGGUUUUCGGCUCGUAAAACUCUGUUGUAAGGGAAGAACAAGUACAGACGUAACUGGCUGUAUCUUGACGGUACCUUAUUAGAAAGCCACGGCUAACUACGUGCCAGCAGCCGCGGUAAUACGUAUGUGGCAAGCGUUGUCCGGAAUUAUUUGGCGUAAAGCGUGCGCAGGCGGUCCAUUAAGUCUGAUGGUGAAGCCCACGGCUCAACCGUGGAGGGUCAUUGGAAACUGGGGGACUUGAGUGCAGAAGAGGAAAGUGGAAAUCCAAGUGUAGCGGUGAAAUGCGUAGAGAUUUGGAGGAACACCAGUGGCGAAGGCGACUUUCUGGUCUGUAACUGACGCUGAGGCGCGAAAGCGUGGGGAGCAAACAGG
RNAcentral lists this ribosomal RNA (424 nucleotides) under uncultured bacterium. RNAcentral describes it as "partial 16S ribosomal RNA". It matches the Rfam family "Bacterial small subunit ribosomal RNA", at positions 360 to 776 of the family's 1533-position model. The record is from RNAcentral.